UUUCUUCUCAUUUGUCGCACAAAUGAUCAACCCUCUCAUGGAGUUGGCGAUAAGGAUAGGAUAAGGAUAAGAACUAGGUAGUUCUAAGUCAAAUUCAAACCAUUUGAAUUCGAACAUGAACCAAACUUAUCCUAAUCCAAAAGAGACCAGAGAGUGGGCGAUAAACCUCUUCUGGGUAUGAGAAACCUUCAUGUAAAAAAUAUUUCUCACAUGAGGAAGAGAUGGGCGC
Molecule: long non-coding RNA, 229 nt
Filed under: Elaeis guineensis (African oil palm)
Lineage: Eukaryota; Viridiplantae; Streptophyta; Magnoliopsida; Arecales; Arecaceae
Description: long non-coding RNA (EGUI_LNC062637)
Source: RNAcentral